AGUGAACGCUGGCGGUAGGCCUAACACAUGCAAGUCGAACGGCAGCACUGUAAGAGCUUGCUCUUACGGGUGGCGAGUGGCGGACGGGUGAGGAAUACAUCGGAAUCUACUUUUUCGUGGGGGAUAACGUAGGGAAACUUACGCUAAUACCGCAUACGACCUACGGGUGAAAGCAGGGGAUCUUCGGACCUUGCGCGAUUGAAUGAGCCGAUGUCGGAUUAGCUAGUUGGCGGGGUAAAGGCCCACCAAGGCGACGAUCCGUAGCCGGUCUGAGAGGAUGAUCAGCCACACUGGAACUGAGACACGGUCCAGACUCCUACGGGAGGCAGCAGUGGGGAAUAUUGGACAAUGGGCGCAAGCCUGAUCCAGCCAUACCGCGUGGGUGAAGAAGGCCUUCGGGUUGUAAAGCCCUUUUGUUGGGAAAGAAAAGCAGCAGGUUAAUACCCCGCUGUUCUGACGGUACCCAAAGAAUAAGCACCGGCUAACUUCGUG
Molecule: ribosomal RNA, 492 nt
Filed under: uncultured bacterium
Lineage: Bacteria
Description: partial 16S ribosomal RNA
Rfam family: Bacterial small subunit ribosomal RNA
Source: RNAcentral